This is a long non-coding RNA of Sapajus apella (tufted capuchin), 2725 nucleotides long. RefSeq lists it as uncharacterized. Lineage: Eukaryota; Metazoa; Chordata; Mammalia; Primates; Cebidae. The transcript has 3 exons. The record is from RefSeq and is a predicted model, not a curated record.
CUCCAGAUGAUCUGUCCACCCUGGCCUCCCAAAGUGCUGGGAUGACAGGUAUGAGCCCAGCCCUAAAAUUUACUUUUUAAAUGAUUUUAAGUAUAUUCACAAGUGUGAUUGAUUACAAAUAAUUCCAGAACUUUUUCAUCACCCUGGAAAGAAACCCCAUGCCUGUUAGACACUCCUCAUUCCCCCAAAUCCUUCAGUCCUAGUCAAUCACUAAUCUACUUGCUAUAGAUUGCCUAUUAUGGACAUUUCAUAUAUUAAUAAAUAGAAUCAUAUGUAACCGUUCGUGCAUGGCUUCUUUCACUUAGCAUAAUGGUUUUAAGAUUUAUCCAUGUUGGAGCAUGUAUGAGUAUUUCAUUACUUUUCACUGCUAGAUAAUAUUCCAUUGUGUGGAUAUACCACAUUUUACCCAGCCAUUUGUCAGUUGUUAGGUAUUUGAGUUGCUUCCCUUUUUCAUCAUUGUGAAUGAUGUUGCUGUGAACAUUUUGUGUGGACAUAGAUUUUUAUUUCUCUUGGGUAUAUACUUAGGAGUGGAAUUGCUGGAUUGUAUGGUAACUCUGCAUAACAUUUUGAGAAACUGUUUAUAAAUUGUUUUCCAAAGCAGCUGUACCACUUUGUGUAAAGUGGUAUUUUAUUGUGGUUUUGAUUUGGCCCAAAUGAGUUACAUAGAAAAGAUCAGAGUAGAUGGAGAUAGGUUUCUCAGAAGAGGUUGGAAUUUGAACUGCUAGAAAGGGGAGAUUUGGAGAAUGGAGAGGGAUUACCAAAGGAAGAAGAGUGGAAGUUAUAUGACUUAGAAAUGAGGAUAAACCCGUCUCGUUUUAAGUAUAGAGGAGCGAUCUCAGCUUAUGAUAGCUCUACUCUAGUCUGUUUUGACUGUUCUUUAAAGGAUCCCUUUGCCAAAAUGCGCAAGAGGGUUGCUUUUCUUGAGGCCUGUCGUAUAGCGCAGUUGACAUAUCUCUCUGGUUUGUGAUGAGACCAAGAGUUGGAAUGUGACUUCCUUUCCAGGCCUUCUCCCUCUACUGCCUCUUCCCCUCUUCCAUUUCUCCACCACAGUGCUGUCUUCCCAGUCUCCAAAGGUGAAUGUAGAAAGACUUAGAGUGGUGGAAUAAAAUUCUCUUUGAAGACCAAGCUUUCCCUUAUUAGUGCUCAGUCAGCCACUUGAAUUUUCAUGACUUUUCUGGAAAAUAUGUUGCUGCUACUCCAUCAUUCUUCUCUUAGCCAUUGUAGUAAACUUAGAGGGGAUUGUAUAGCAGAUAGGAAGGUGGAAACAGGAGGUAAGACCUGGAGGAUUGCUCUAGGAAACUAUGUUUGCAUCCAGUUACUAAAUCUGUGUAAGUUCCUGGUUGGAGUUCCGGUUGCAGUUGCAAAGGCCCAGCCUUUUUCCUGGCCCUGGGGAGAACUAAUCUCUGGGUUCCUAAAAUCCUUUUUGCUUAAAAGGGCUUUGUGGGGACAUGGAAAAAUGAGGAAGAAAAAUAAACAAAAUGAAGUUGUUUUGCUCUCUACUUUUACUGAAAUUAGUACCCAUUCUUUCUAAGUAUUCAGGACUUGAAAACAGCCAAAUAAAAUAAGAAAAGAUAUAUUAAAAAAUACGUGUGUGUGUGUGUGUGUGUGUGUACACACACACACACACACACACACACACACACACACAUGUUCCUAUAGAAAAGAAAGGUGUCAUUCCAAAAUUUCACUUGUAAGUUGGUUAUGGCAUUUAGAAUGUAUUUUCCGCUUAGAGAUACUGUUACGUACAAAUCAGUGACUGUUGAGGGCAAGGGCAUUCCAGGUAGAGGGAAUUGUGCAUGCAAAAGUCAUAGGGAGAUAAAAGGUAAAGCUGAAAUACAGGAUAUGAGGAUAAAGAUUAUAGGAGAGGAAGCUGAAGAAGUAGGCAUGUGCCAGUGGGACAUGAUGCCACUGAAGGGUUGAACUGGGGAUGUGAUGUGAUCGGAUUUUGGUUUUAGGUAGAUUAUCCUGGCAGUAGUAGUUUAGAGCAGGGAUAUCUCUGGCUUGUACAAGAUGAUCCAUUGGAACGUGAGAAGACUAUAUUAGAAAUUGCAAUUAUUUUUAUAUCAACCUUCAAAGUUGUUUUUGUAUUUUUAAUGUAUGUAUUAGUAUAGUAAGACAUUAUUAUAAUUCAUGGAUAUUUGUCAGAUCUAUGUUCACUUUUUUACUGACAGGAAGAACGCAUGAAAAAAAAUGGGAGGCCACUGGAUUGUGGAACUGUAUAAUCGUUUGUACUGCUUAAGUUCAAGGACCAGAUUAAGGUUUUGGCAUUGUAAAGGAAAGGAAUGAUGGGUUGGCAUGGUGGCUCAUGCCCGUAAUGCCAGCAUUUUGAGAGGCCCAGGGGGGUGGAUGGCUUGAGUCUAGGAAUUUGAGACCAGCAUGGGCAGUAUGGUGAAACUCUCUCUACAAAAAAGUACAACAAUUAGCUAGGUGUGGUUGCAUGUAUCUGUGGUCCCAGCUACUUGGAAGGCUGAGGUGGGAGGAUCACUUGACCUCCCACAGAGCUCAGGAGACAGGUUACAGUGAGGCAGGAUCGUGCCACUGCAUUCAAGCCUGGGUGACAGAAUGAGACCUUGUCUCAAGAAAAAAAAAAAAAAGAUGGAUUUGAGAGAUUUUAAGUAGGAAUGACAAGACUUGGUGACAAAUUACAUGUAAGAGACAGAAGAAGAAUCAAAAAUGAUGUGCCCAGGUUAUCAGAGUUAUGUUACAAAUGGAGUCUUUGUGAGGU